Long non-coding RNA from Lepidothrix coronata (blue-crowned manakin), 279 nucleotides. RefSeq lists it as uncharacterized. Lineage: Eukaryota; Metazoa; Chordata; Aves; Passeriformes; Pipridae. The transcript has 3 exons. The record is from RefSeq and is a predicted model, not a curated record.
GCCCCUUUUUAUCCCGAUUUCCCUCUAAACAUUAACCCCGGAACCUCCUCCCGAUUUUCCCCGGCCAUUCCCAGAUUUCCAGGCUCCCGACCCUCAUUCCCAAACUUGGGAUGAAGCCCCAGCUGCCCGGGAUGGAGGAAGAAUUCCAUCAAAAUUCCACGGAGCUGCUCCGGCUGCGGCGGGAAAACCAAAAGCUCCGGAUCCAGCUGGAAGCGGCGCGGGAAGCCGGGAUGGGAGCGCUCCGGGAACUUCCCGGGAAGCUGGCCGGGAUUUUCGGGA